AGGUAGUUAAGCAAGACCGUGGGCAAGUCAGCCAACAGCCUGCUCUGUGGUCCCUGGUGUGUUUCUUUGUGAGGCGAGCUGCCUGGCAGGAGGAAACUCUCCACGAGCGUGCGCCAGACCGUCGGCCUUCAAGUCCCUGUUUGCCUCUCCCGCUCUGAAUUCACCCAGGGAUGGACUAGAACCUGCAAACUGAAAUAAACCCUGUCCCUCACCUACGCGGCUCUUGCUCAGGGUGCUUUGUCCCAGCAACAGAAAGGAAACUUCCAGAAGGGAAGGAAGUGCAGAAACUGAGCCCAAGACGGGGUCUACUGAAUGUCCAGAGACCCUGUAAAUACGUACAUACUACACACACCCACUGUUUUACAUAUCGCUCCCCCGCCCCUGCCUUACUCAGCCAUAUGAUUUGGGAAAUGGUGCCAUAUUGGUACGCACAGAGCUGCCUCGCUGACUGUGAAGAUGGUGCAGAAUCCCAUUUACAAGUCUUGUGUUGAAGGACACUUACUUGGUUGCGUGCUUGAGGAAAAUCCAGCUGGGGAGUGCCAAAUUCGUGGAGGUCGCCAACGGAGAUAAGACUGGAGAUAAGGAAAAGAACCAAGGAGGCCUUAUUAAUGAGAAACAUCUUAAAGAAGCCUCUGCAUCUGGAUUAAGUCAUGCCCAGCACACCGGCAUUCCUGGGAUAUGUUUCCACUGGAAACUGCAUAUAAAACCCAUGGUUUUGCUCUGCAAAUAAAAGUUCAGAUUUACUGUGCCGCAUGGUCUUUCCACCCAUAAAGCCCUGUGUUACUUAUGUGCCCGGAGUGCGUGUAGGCUGAGACGAGCCAUCUCAUUUCCAGUGAGUGACCUUGAGAUGGCAGCAGCGUCCCAUUCGACUCUGCCAUGCUCCCGGUCCAUAACAAAGUGAAAGUAAAAAUCUCAAUAAAUCAGAAUAACGCUGAUUGUUAUAAUUUUAUUAUCAGAGCAUUGAGUCAAUAAAACUUAUCUAAAACACCA
Long non-coding RNA from Mesocricetus auratus (golden hamster), 990 nucleotides. RefSeq lists it as uncharacterized. NCBI's taxonomy places the organism in Eukaryota, Metazoa, Chordata, Mammalia, Rodentia, Cricetidae. The record is from RefSeq and is a predicted model, not a curated record. The transcript has 3 exons.